CGGGACUGGUGAGUAACGCGUGAGGAACCUGCCUUCCAGAGGGGGACAACAGUUGGAAACGACUGCUAAUACCGCAUGAAACAUUUGAACCGCAUGGUUUGAAUGUCAAAGAUUUAUCGCUGGAAGAUGGCCUCGCGUCUGAUUAGCUAGUAGGCGGGGUAACGGCCCACCUAGGCGACGAUCAGUAGCCGGACUGAGAGGUUGACCGGCCACAUUGGGACUGAGAUACGGCCCAGACUCCUACGGAAGGCAGCAG
RNAcentral lists this ribosomal RNA (256 nucleotides) under uncultured bacterium. RNAcentral describes it as "partial 16S ribosomal RNA". It matches the Rfam family "Bacterial small subunit ribosomal RNA", at positions 98 to 354 of the family's 1533-position model. The record is from RNAcentral.